UACGUAGGGGGCAAGCGUUGUCCGGAAUUAUUGGGCGUAAAGCGCGCGCAGGCGGCCAUUUAAGUCUGAUGUGAAAGCCCACGGCUCAACCGUGGAGGGUCAUUGGAAACUGGAUGGCUUGAGUGCAGGAGAGGAAAGUGGAAUUCCACGUGUAGCGGUGAAAUGCGUAGAGAUGUGGAGGAACACCAGUGGCGAAGGCGACUUUCUGGCCUGUAACUGACGCUGAGGCGCGAAAGCGUGGGGAGCAAACAGG
Molecule: ribosomal RNA, 253 nt
Filed under: uncultured bacterium
Lineage: Bacteria
Description: partial 16S ribosomal RNA
Rfam family: Bacterial small subunit ribosomal RNA
Source: RNAcentral